Molecule: unclassified non-coding RNA, 156 nt
Filed under: uncultured Xylaria
Lineage: Eukaryota; Fungi; Ascomycota; Sordariomycetes; Xylariales; Xylariaceae
Description: sequence contains ITS2
Source: RNAcentral
CAACCCUUAAGCCCCUGUUGCUUAGCGUUGGGAGCCUACAGCACUGUAGCUCCCCAAAGUUAGUGGCGGAGUCGGUCUCACACUCUAGACGUAGUAAAUCUAUCUCGUCUGUAGUUGGGCCGGUCCCCUGCCGUAAAACCCCCUAAUUUUUAAAGG